GUGCUGCAGUGAGGUGGUUGUCGCCCGUGUUGUGUGUGUGUGAGUGUGUGUGAGUGAGUGAGUGUGUGCGUGGGGGCACUCGGCUUGUUGUUGUCGGUGAUGUCCCCCUUCCCUCAACCCCUCCCCUCCCAGCCUGCCGCUGCAGUGGCCGCUCCCUGGGCCGUAGGAAAUGAGCUAUAACGAUGACAUCAAGGUGGAGAGGGACACUGACAAGCAGCCUCACCAUAAUGCACUGGAACGAAAGCAUAGGGACCACAUCAAAGACAGCUUUCACAGUUUGCGGAACUCAGUCCCAUCACUCCAAGGAGAGAAGGCAUCCCAGGCCCAAAUCCUAGACAAAGCAACAGAGUAUAUCCAGUAUAUGCGAAGGAAAAAUCAUACGCACCAGCAAGACAUUGAUGACCUCAAGAGGCAGAAUGCUCUUCUGGAGCAACAAGUCCGUGCACUGGAGAAGGCAAGAUCAAGUGCCCAACUGCAGACCAACUACCCCUCCUCAGACAACAGCCUCUAAAUCAACGCCAAGGGCGGCACCAUCUCUGCCUUCGAUGGGGGUUCAGACUCCAGCUCAGAGUCCGAGCCUGAAGAGCCCCAGAGCAGGAAGAAACUCCGGAUGGAGGCCAGCUAAGCCAUGCGGGGCA
Non-coding RNA from Mus caroli (Ryukyu mouse), 638 nucleotides. The record is from RefSeq and is a predicted model, not a curated record. NCBI's taxonomy places the organism in Eukaryota, Metazoa, Chordata, Mammalia, Rodentia, Muridae.